RNAcentral lists this long non-coding RNA (762 nucleotides) under Homo sapiens (human). RNAcentral's name for it is "HSALNT0061064". The record is from RNAcentral. Lineage: Eukaryota; Metazoa; Chordata; Mammalia; Primates; Hominidae.
UGGGGUUUUACCAUGCUGGCCAGGCUGGUCUCGAACUCCUGACUUCAGGUGAUCCACCUGCCUCGGCCUCCCAAAGUGCUGGGAUUACAGGUGUGAGCCACCGUGCUUGGCCUCACUGCCAGUUUCUGAGGGGAGCUGCGAAGGUCCGCUAAGUCCUCUCCAGGCUUAGGUGGAAAGGAUGUGGAAGGAAUUGUCCUGCACCUGUGUGGCCUUCUCUACAUCUGUGUUCAUGCUUGUGUCUGUUACAAAAGGUUGCAAGCCUAUCUCCCUGCUGGAUGUAAAGAUGCAGGCUCAACGUUUAGCAUAGUCGACAGAAAACAGAGCUGCCAGUGGAGACACUAACAUGUGUUAAGUUCUUUGGGAAGGAGGUGUCUCUGAUGCUUAUAUCACUUGCAUCUGCCCAUAGCAGACACUCAUCAUCUGAUAAGCUGAACUGGGCCAAUUCCAAGGCAGUAAUUGUGCCAGGAGUGUCUUCAUGUAUUAUUCCACCUAAUGACAAGACAAGCGAGAAGAGCUAACCUAAGCAGGGAGCCAGAAAGAAAAAUGUUUCAAAGGGAUAGAGAGGACUUUAAGUAAAGCUUGGGGGCGGCGGGGGUAAUAUAAGGACCUGAUCCAGAAAAGAUGGGAUGAGCUGAAUUGUUCUUCCAUUGGCAAUAGCUGACCAUUGUUAGGCUUUUGUGGAAGAGGAAGCUGCAUUUUGUACUCAAUAAACUAUCAGUGCAAUGGAUCAAAUGAUUGGUAUGAAAGAAUAGAGAAGUGCCC